CUGGCUCAGGACGAACGCUGGCGGCGUGCCUAAUACAUGCAAGUCGAGCGAACCACUUCGGUGGUUAGCGGCGGACGGGUGAGUAACACGUGGGCAACCUGCCUGUAAGACUGGGAUAACUUCGGGAAACCGGAGCUAAUACCGGAUAAUCCUUUUCCUCUCAUGRGGRAAAGCUGAAAGACGGUUUCGGCUGUCACUUACAGAUGGGCCCGCGGCGCAUUAGCUAGUUGGUGAGGUAACGGCUCACCAAGGCGACGAUGCGUAGCCGACCUGAGAGGGUGAUCGGCCACACUGGGACUGAGACACGGCCCAGACUCCUACGGGAGGCAGCAGUAGGGAAUCUUCCACAAUGGACGAAAGUCUGAUGGAGCAACGCCGCGUGAGCGAUGAAGGCCUUCGGGUCGUAAAGCUCUGUUGUUAGGGA
Molecule: ribosomal RNA, 424 nt
Filed under: Bacillus sp. R-31834
Lineage: Bacteria; Bacillati; Bacillota; Bacilli; Caryophanales; Bacillaceae
Description: bacterial SSU rRNA
Rfam family: Bacterial small subunit ribosomal RNA
Source: RNAcentral